UGUAGAAUUGCUGGGCUAUGCAGUCAUUCUAUUUUUAACUUUUGAGGAAUUACCAGUUUUCCAAAGUGGUUGCAUCAUUUUAGAUCCCCAUUAGCAAU
RNAcentral lists this microRNA precursor (98 nucleotides) under Marmota monax (woodchuck). Lineage: Eukaryota; Metazoa; Chordata; Mammalia; Rodentia; Sciuridae. The record is from RNAcentral.